GUUAAUUUUGAAGUUUUAUUUAUUGUGAACAGUUUUAAACAUGCAGAAUAGUUUGUAAAUUGCAGCAAUUGAGCACACAUAUUAAGUUUAUACCAAAAUUAUUAAAAUAAUUAGGUAAAAUCAUAAGUUAAUAGUUUGCGAGUCCAGCAUUCUGCCGAAAUUCUGUAAUAACCUCAUAUAUUUCAUGUUACCUAAUUUAAUGAAAACUAAAAGUUUGGGAUUUCUUAUUGGUUGUGUAUUGUGAUACAAUUUUUAAAUGUUUGGACAUAUUUUACCUAAUUGCUAUCAACUGUAAUAAGAGUUGAUGUAAUUAAUAAGUUAAUAAAGUGAUUUAUUAGGACUCUUGUUUAAAGAACUAUUUGAUUUUCAAUAACAUUGCAAUCAGUUGAUCUGAAAUGCCAAGGAUAGUUGGUUAGUGAGAAACAUUUAAUAUGCUCUGGGAACUCAGGUACACUCUAUGAAUGUAUAUCAAAACGGACCAAAUGCAACCUCAUCCCAAAUUUGCACAGAUGUAAAACAAUGCCAGGAAUUCAUUAAGUCAAUUUUUGUGGUAUUUUAAUUUGUUUUUAACUAACUAUAUACUAUCAAUAAGGCUAGAACGAAACAUAAUAUGCAUUUUAAUAAGAUCAGUUAUAUCCAUAGUGUAUUUAAAUUCUGCAAAUAUAUAUUUAAAUAUGUAGUUACUAAGAAUAA
Molecule: long non-coding RNA, 693 nt
Organism: Dalotia coriaria
Lineage: Eukaryota; Metazoa; Arthropoda; Insecta; Coleoptera; Staphylinidae
Exons: 2
Source: RefSeq, a predicted model, not a curated record